GGGCCAUUAGCUCAAUUGGUAGAGCAGCUGACUCUUAAUCAGUUGGUUCAAGGUUCGAGUCCUUGAUGGCCCA
Molecule: transfer RNA, 73 nt
Filed under: Nitrosococcus oceani ATCC 19707
Lineage: Bacteria; Pseudomonadati; Pseudomonadota; Gammaproteobacteria; Chromatiales; Chromatiaceae
Also listed under: 2 other names
Rfam family: tRNA
About the family: Transfer RNA (tRNA) molecules are approximately 80 nucleotides in length. Their secondary structure includes four short double-helical elements and three loops (D, anti-codon, and T loops). Further hydrogen bonds mediate the characteristic L-shaped molecular structure. tRNAs have two regions of fundamental functional importance: the anti-codon, which is responsible for specific mRNA codon recognition, and the 3' end, to which the tRNAs corresponding amino acid is attached (by aminoacyl-tRNA synthetases). tRNAs cope with the degeneracy of the genetic code in two manners: having more than one tRNA (with a specific anti-codon) for a particular amino acid; and 'wobble' base-pairing, i.e. permitting non-standard base-pairing at the 3rd anti-codon position.
Source: Rfam by way of RNAcentral